RNAcentral lists this ribosomal RNA (166 nucleotides) under uncultured bacterium. Its description in RNAcentral is "partial 16S rRNA". It matches the Rfam family "Bacterial small subunit ribosomal RNA", at positions 355 to 511 of the family's 1533-position model. The record is from RNAcentral.
UAGGGAAUCUUCCACAAAUGGGCGCAAGCCUGAUGGAGCAACACCGCGUGAGUGAAGAAGGGUUUCGGCUCGUAAAGCUCUGUUGUUGGAGAAGAACGUGCGUGAGAGUAACUGUUCACGCAGUGACGGUAUCCAACCAAGAAAGUCACGGCUAACUACGUGCCAG